UACGUAGGGGGCUAGCGUUGUCCGGAUUUAUUGGGCGUAAAGAGCGUGUAGGCGGCCAGGUAGGUCUGGUGUGAAAACUCGAGGCUUAACCUCGAGAUGUCAUCGGAAACCAUUUGGCUAGAGUCCGGAAGAGGAGAGUGGAAUUCCGAGUGUAGAGGUGAAAUUCGUAGAUAUUCGGAGGAACACCAGUGGCGAAGGCGGCUCACUGGUCCAUUACUGACGCUGAGGUGCGAAAGCGUGGGGAGCAAACAGG
RNAcentral lists this ribosomal RNA (253 nucleotides) under uncultured bacterium. RNAcentral's name for it is "partial 16S ribosomal RNA". It matches the Rfam family "Bacterial small subunit ribosomal RNA", at positions 524 to 776 of the family's 1533-position model. The record is from RNAcentral.